GUAAUGAAUCAGGAUAUUAAAUUAAGUGCUACUUGAAGGAUGAAGAUACUACUGAAACUUGUAAUAAAUUUACACAGUCACCAUGGUGAGAAUACUUGGGAAAUUUAGAGCUGAUCUUGUAUUCCUGUUAUCUUCACGGAUAAUUCCCAUAUUCCUCUAUUCAAGCAGAGCAAGCAGAAGACUCUUCUCUAAAGGUACACUUAUGUAUGCGUGACUGAAUGCUUCCAGGAGCACAGAAACACUUGCUUGUCAGCUUUUUUGCAUUGACACACAAGUGUUGAGACGGUAGGAAACGGCAGUGCUUUUUAUCAGGACAGCACAGGUGGAUGGCCUUUGUUCACAAUUAACAGAGGGCUGUUAGGUGAUGCGUUUUUCCUUAGUGUCUCCAAAAUACAUUGUUAUUUUGGGUUCUGAAAGCAAGCUAAUGGCAUAAGCCCUGAGCUUUGGCCAGGCUAAUGUAUUCUGUGUAUAGCUAGAGCUGUUACAGCAAAAAUAUUUCCCUCACAUCCAUCCAGUAUUUGUUUUCUUUCCUUACUUAACCUUUCUUCUCAGAGCACAGCUCACCCUGAGUUUUAUAUUGCUACUGCCUGCUUUAUUCCUCAGCUGUUUUCUUCCCUCCAUUUCUGUUUGUCUCCUAAGGAAAUGACAAACCAGAAACAGCUGAGUGGUCAAGUGUAUCAGAAAUAAAGCAAGCCGAUGCAUGUGGCAUGGUUCAGUGGAUGGAGCACUUCAUUCUGAAUCUGAAAAAGUUCUCUCUCUGCCACUCGUAUUUUUUUUUCUUUUCUCAGUGCUGAACAAUAUAUUUCAUCUUAAUUUAGGCAGCAAUGAGACAGGCUAUGUGCCUUUUAUUGAGAACUUUGAAAUUCAGUUGGUGUGUCAUCUUCUUCAGAUCAUCUCCCCGAGAACAUCUUAAAUUACAUGAUAACUGAGGAUGGAGGUCAUGGAGAGUGCAGAACCUUACAUCUGCUGCAGAAGUGCUGUGUUAUUCAUGCCCUGUUUCCUGCUGUCAGAAGAGCAAUCCCAUGAGACAAAUGUUCUCUACAGGACAGCACUACAAAACAAUGCCAGCACUGGAGCACAACUGAUGCCUGUCCUGCUGCAGCUGUAGGCUUCUCACCAACUUUAGGCAAUAUUCUGUUUCACAGGUGCUGGGCAGAGUGAUGCAGCCACAUCCAAGUGAUCCUACAUGAAGCCAGUGGGGGGUCUGGAUGGGCUUAUCCAGCCUGGUCUAGUGCAGCAUCUGCUGUGCCUGACCUGAGCUGGAUUGUGCUCUGGUACUGCCUGGCCCAGCAGUUGCAUGAAGAGAAAUUCAAUGAGGCUCUGAAGUGAUCUGCAGGCAGCCAGCCCAGCAGGGCUUGAUGAUUGCAGAAGUUUGAGGAUGGCAAGAUCUCACUGACAUGAUGCUCCUCCUGAUCUGGUGAAUCCAGCAGGACUGGAGCAACUGAGCCUGCUUUGGUUUGCAAUGAGGGCUGUGGCAAUGAAGUAGAUUUAUAAGAAACUGUCAGCCAUAGGUCAUUUAAGCUGUCACCACAUUAGUUCUGACACUGACGGUGCCAACACAACCUAAGUUUGGGGGUUUUUUUAAUUUUUUAUUGAGUAGAUUCUUGGCUUGGGAAAGAUAAAGCAAGCAACAGAUAAGGUUUUGUGCAGGGGCUAUUUUUCUUCCCUUUCCUUAACCAAAAAACUCCAAACCAAACCAUGUCUCUCCAGAAAUCCAAGAUAAAAUCUGCUUAGGCAAAAAGAUAUUAUGCUGAUAAAGCAGAGUGCUUGAAAGAAAGGUGUAUUCAUUAUCUUUAGAACAGAUGGGGAUCAGCAGGAAAGUUUUAAUGGACUACAAAACCUGUAAAGUUUUUUGAAUUCGUGAUUAUACCGUCUUGUAAAACUCGUAAUUGCCUCAAAGAGUAAUGAGUGGGCCUAAAACACAUUCACAUCAGUAGAAAUGUGCACGGAAUUUAAUACACCCUGAGUCAGAAUUAACUUGGAUAUGUUGAAUUUUAAUGUUAAACGAUCCUUCUCAUAAAACAUUUCAAAAGCAGAAAGCUGAAUUCUGAAGAGAAAAAGGCAUAGAAACAAAGCAGGUCUCUGGUAGCUAUUAAUUUGUGAGACAGCACUUAGAGAAUACUUCCUUGUAGAGUCACGUUGAAAACAAAGUGAAAAAAAUGGACUCGAAGUUGCAGGGCUGCAAUGUAAUGUGUGCAAUGAUUCAUGUGUAUUGUUAUGAAGGUGUUGGAAUAAAAUAAAGGAACUGAAUGUUCUCA
RNAcentral lists this long non-coding RNA (2258 nucleotides) under Cyanistes caeruleus (blue tit). RNAcentral's name for it is "lncRNA (ENSCCEG00000013744.1)". Lineage: Eukaryota; Metazoa; Chordata; Aves; Passeriformes; Paridae. The record is from RNAcentral.